UCCGGGAUCGUCCAAUAGCCAGGAUACGCGGCUUUGAACCGCUGAGAUGGGGGUGCAAGUCCCUCUCCCGGAG
This 73-nucleotide transfer RNA is filed under the name Labilithrix sp. RNAcentral's name for it is "tRNA-Gln". It matches the Rfam family "tRNA". Rfam says of the family: Transfer RNA (tRNA) molecules are approximately 80 nucleotides in length. The record is from RNAcentral. Lineage: Bacteria; Pseudomonadati; Myxococcota; Polyangiales; Labilitrichaceae.